AUGACACGAAAGUAUGUCAUCACAUUCCUCGACGACAUCCUGACGUACAUCCCUUCCUUUGACGAGCAUUUGCAGCACCUGCACCAAGUGUUGGAAAUGCUACGCGAGCACAAACUAUAUGUGAAGCUUUCAAUGUGCUCUUUUGCCUAGUCCUCCAUCAAUUAUUUGGGGCAUGUGAUCUCAGCAGCUGGGGUCGCCUAGGAGACAGAGAAGACUGAUGCCAUUAUGAAGUGGCCGCAGCCAUCGUCCCAAACGGAGCUGCAUGCAUUCUUGGGCUUAACCGGGUAUUAUCAAAAAUUUGUCAGGAACUACAACAUCAUCACUAAGCCACUGACAACACUCCUUAGCAAGAUGGGUUUUCUGUGGUCAGAGGCAGCAACUGCACAUUUCAGAAACUAA
This 399-nucleotide ribosomal RNA is filed under the name Triticum aestivum (bread wheat). RNAcentral describes it as "partial small subunit ribosomal RNA". Lineage: Eukaryota; Viridiplantae; Streptophyta; Magnoliopsida; Poales; Poaceae. The record is from RNAcentral.